RNAcentral lists this transfer RNA (71 nucleotides) under Chitinophagaceae bacterium. RNAcentral describes it as "tRNA-Trp". It matches the Rfam family "tRNA". From Rfam's summary of the family: Transfer RNA (tRNA) molecules are approximately 80 nucleotides in length. Lineage: Bacteria; Pseudomonadati; Bacteroidota; Chitinophagia; Chitinophagales; Chitinophagaceae. The record is from RNAcentral. RNAcentral also lists the same sequence under 3 other names.
ACGGGCAUAUUUCAAUGGUAGAAUGAAGGUCUCCAAAACCUUAGAUCUGGGUUCGAAUCCUAGUGCCCGUG